GAUGAACGCUGGCGGCGUGCCUAACACAUGCAAGUCGAACGAAAACACAGUGAGAGUUCGCCUUUGAGGGUAGCGACUGGCGGGCGGGUGAGGAGUAGAUAGGCUACCUCUUUUUCGUGGGGGAUAUCGUAGAGCAACAUCCGCUACUACCGCAUACGACCAACGGCUGACUGCAGGAGAUAUUCGCACCUUUCGCGUCUGACUGAGCCGGUGUCGGAUCAGCUCGUUGGCGGGGUAAAGGCACACCAAGGCAACGAUCCGUAGCUGGUCUGAGAGGAUGAUCGGCCACACUGGAACUGAGACACGGUCCAGACUCCUACGGGAGGCAGCAGUCGGGAAUAUUGCGCAAUGGGCGAAAGCCUGAUGCAGCAAAACCGCGUGAGUGAUGAAGGUCUUCGGGUUGUAAAACCCUGUUGUUAGGGAAGAAAAACAGCAUAUGUAUAUACGGAUGUCCUGACGGUACCUAAAGAGAAAGCACCGGCUAACUACGUG
RNAcentral lists this ribosomal RNA (492 nucleotides) under uncultured bacterium. RNAcentral describes it as "partial 16S ribosomal RNA". It matches the Rfam family "Bacterial small subunit ribosomal RNA", at positions 28 to 507 of the family's 1533-position model. The record is from RNAcentral.